GACGAACGCUGGCGGCGUGCCUAAUACAUGCAAGUCGAACGCAUUUUCUUUCACCGUAGCUUGCUACACCGAAAGAAAAUGAGUGGCGAACGGGUGAGUAACACGUGGGUAACCUGCCCAUCAGCGGGGGAUAACACUUGGAAACAGGUGCUAAUACCGCAUAAUUCCAUUUACCGCAUGGUAAAUGGAUGAAAGGCGCUUUUGCGUCACUGAUGGAUGGACCCGCGGUGCAUUAGCUAGUUGGUGGGGUAACGGCCUACCAAGGCUGCGAUGCAUAGCCGACCUGGUAGGGUGAUCGGCCACACUGGGACUGAGACACGGCCCAGACUCCUACGGGAGGCAGCAGUAGGGAAUCUUCGGCAAUGGACGCAAGUCUGACCGAGCAACGCCGCGUGAGUGAAGAAGGUUGUCGGAUCGUAAAACUCUGUUGUUAGAGAAGAACAAGGAUGAGAGUGGAAAGUUCAUCCCUUGACGGUAUCUAACCAGAAAGCCACGGUUAACUACGUG
This 507-nucleotide ribosomal RNA is filed under the name uncultured bacterium. Its description in RNAcentral is "partial 16S ribosomal RNA". It matches the Rfam family "Bacterial small subunit ribosomal RNA", at positions 28 to 507 of the family's 1533-position model. The record is from RNAcentral.